UAAUAUUCUCGCAGCAGUGAUAUAAACUCAAAUGGAUUUACUUUACCGUUAACUGGCAGACGUUUGGGGCCUGACAGAUUCACACAGCCAUUGGGACAGGGAACGCCCAUGAACUUGGUGUGCUUCAUGGUGGCCGUGGCCAGAACGGCUGCACGCGGCCACCGUUUACACAAUAGUUGAGAUGCCCCGUAUUGUCUUCUUGGCCCAGAUAGCCGGCAUUGGUAUGGAGCACCUGUAUGACACUCGCAUCAUCGUGGGACAAGCGAAAUCGAUUGCUCUUCUUGCGCUCGAUUAGUGGACGCGCUGGAUCCAGGCCUAUGAUGCGAUACUGUUUCUUGGUCAAGUGAUUGCUAAUCAUGCCACAGAUGUGGGCGCCCAGCGAAUGGCCCACACAGGUGAUCUUCUCACGCGAGGCACCAUAGUGUGUGAGAAAUGAGUACACCUGAGCCGUGCACUGUGCCGUCAGGCGCGUAUUGAUUAGCGAGUGCAGGUAGCAGGGGUAGCGGGUCAGUGGUCGCCAAUCGACAGUUAUCACAUUAAAUUCGCGCGACAAAUAUGCUAAAGAUAAACAAACGAUAGUUAACCCCGCCAGGUCUUGCCUGGCGCGUCCAAUUCAUACUCACUAACCAUCCCUCAGAAACUGUAGAUGCAUGUCAAUGGCGGUCCCAUUAAAUCCAUGCACUAUGAAUACCGUCUCGCGCUGCUUGCUGAAACCGCCCUUGUACAGGGUCAACGGAUUGUGUAUGUUCAGUGGCAGCCCAGAGCGUGGCCCAUUGCUGCGGAAAGAAAAAGCGAAACCAGAUAAAAAUUAUGUAAACAUGCAAAUAUACAUAUACAUAUGUAUGUGCCUUGGAAAUUAGCAGCUAAGCAAAACAAUGAUAUUGCGCCAUUUAUGCAUCAGUGACUAGACGGAUAGCAAUUGGGUUUGAUAUGAUACACUAAUGAAAUAUAAUACAUUCAAAUGAAUAUGGACGCAUAACAAACACAUCAAAACAUUCAUUCAUUUCCCACAAAUAAUGCAACAAUAAAACAAUAACAUUACCGUGAAUUUGAACAAUUUGUAAGUUGAGACUCUUGAAAUGUGUAACCGAUUUUGUGGCUCAAUACGUUUAUGUAAAGCUGAUAAAAAGGCUUAAUUGUAAGAAUUUAAUAUAACUUAUUAAUUUCGUUUAAGAACUUUUUCAAAAUCUGUAUCCUUUCUCUCUACACUCCUUAAAUAGCCAAAGUAAAAUACCAUAUAAAUAUCAGCUCACGCUAAAUACAACUGGUCAAUAAACAAAGCAUCAUUUUAAA
Drosophila montana is the source of this 1293-nucleotide long non-coding RNA. RefSeq lists it as uncharacterized. The record is from RefSeq and is a predicted model, not a curated record. Lineage: Eukaryota; Metazoa; Arthropoda; Insecta; Diptera; Drosophilidae. The transcript is spliced from 2 exons.